RNAcentral lists this ribosomal RNA (253 nucleotides) under uncultured bacterium. RNAcentral describes it as "partial 16S ribosomal RNA". It matches the Rfam family "Bacterial small subunit ribosomal RNA", at positions 524 to 776 of the family's 1533-position model. The record is from RNAcentral.
UACGUAGGGUGCGAGCGUUAAUCGGAAUUACUGGGCGUAAAGCGUGCGCAGGCGGUUUUGUAAGCCAGAUGUGAAAUCCCCGGGCUUAACCUGGGAAUGGCAUUUGGGACUGCAAGGCUUGAGUGCGGCAGAGGAGACUGGAAUUCCUGGUGUAGCAGUGAAAUGUGUAGAUAUCAGGAGGAACACCGAUGGCGAAGGCAGGUCUCUGGGCUGACACUGACGCUCAUGCACGAAAGCGUGGGGAGCAAACAGG